AGAACGAACGCUGGCGGCAGGCUUAACACAUGCAAGUCGAGCGCCCCCGCAAGGGGAGCGGCAGACGGGUGAGUAACGCGUGGGAACAUACCCUCCGGUUCGGAAUAGCUCAGGGAAACUUGGAUUAAUACCGGAUACGGCCUAGCGGCGAAAGAUUGAUCGCCGGAGGAUUGGCCCGCGUCUGAUUAGCUAGUUGGUGGGGUAAUGGCCCACCAAGGCGACGAUCAGUAGCUGGUCUGAGAGGAUGAUCAGCCACAUUGGGACUGAGACACGGCCCAAACUCCUACGGGAGGCAGCAGUGGGGAAUAUUGGACAAUGGGCGCAAGCCUGAUCCAGCCAUGCCGCGUGAGUGAUGACGGCCUUAGGGUUGUAAAGCUCUUUCGCUAGGGACGAUAAUGACGGUACCUAGACAAGAAGCCCCGGCUAACUUCGUGCCAGCAGCCGC
This 445-nucleotide ribosomal RNA is filed under the name uncultured bacterium. RNAcentral's name for it is "SSU rRNA". It matches the Rfam family "Bacterial small subunit ribosomal RNA", at positions 26 to 518 of the family's 1533-position model. The record is from RNAcentral.